Molecule: ribosomal RNA, 544 nt
Filed under: Enterobacteriaceae bacterium HGB0077
Lineage: Bacteria; Pseudomonadati; Pseudomonadota; Gammaproteobacteria; Enterobacterales; Enterobacteriaceae
Description: bacterial SSU rRNA
Rfam family: Bacterial small subunit ribosomal RNA
Source: RNAcentral
UUGCUGCUUUGCUGACGAGUGGCUGACGGGUGAGUAAUGUCUGGGAAACUGCCUGAUGGAGGGGGAUAACUACUGGAAACGGUAGCUAAUACCGCAUAACGUCGCAAGACCAAAGAGGGGGACCUUAGGGCCUCUUGCCAUCGGAUGUGCCCAGAUGGGAUUAGCUAGUAGGUGGGGUAACGGCUCACCUAGGCGACGAUCCCUAGCUGGUCUGAGAGGAUGACCAGCCACACUGGAACUGAGACACGGUCCAGACUCCUACGGGAGGCAGCAGUGGGGAAUAUUGCACAAUGGGCGCAAGCCUGAUGCAGCCAUGCCGCGUGUAUGAAGAAGGCCUUCGGGUUGUAAAGUACUUUCAGCGGGGAGGAAGGGAGUAAAGUUAAUACCUUUGCUCAUUGACGUUACCCGCAGAAGAAGCACCGGCUAACUCCGUGCCAGCAGCCGCGGUAAUACGGAGGGUGCAAGCGUUAAUCGGAAUUACUGGGCGUAAAGCGCACGCAGGCGGUUUGGUUAGUCAGAUGUGAAAUCCCCGGGCUCAACCUGG